GGCGCAUAGCUCAGUGGUAGAGCACUUGUCUACCAUGUGAGAGGCCUUGGGUUCAAUCCCCAGCACCA
Molecule: transfer RNA, 68 nt
Filed under: Marmota monax (woodchuck)
Lineage: Eukaryota; Metazoa; Chordata; Mammalia; Rodentia; Sciuridae
Description: tRNA.Gly
Rfam family: tRNA (bases 7-63)
About the family: Transfer RNA (tRNA) molecules are approximately 80 nucleotides in length. Their secondary structure includes four short double-helical elements and three loops (D, anti-codon, and T loops).
Source: RNAcentral